AUUUUGAACCCAUCACUCUUUUAUGAGCAGCAUGAGAAGAAUUCAUUGGCUAAAGAAGUGUGGACAGGAUUCCAUCAGGUUGUUAUCAAGUUGAACCCAGAUGAAGACUUGCAAGAAAAGAUAGUAGAUUAGUUUGCUACUUACAAGGCAGCUGAAGGACUUUUUAAGCUUCGACUUGCUAUUAAACAAAGAACGACAAAGUCGCCAGGUGACCAAGUGUUUCUAUAUUUUAUAGCUCUAACUUCAAUGUAUUUUUUAUACUUAUUAACUCUUGAAUAUUUUUUUGACUUCUAUAGUUGAAUGGUGGGACCAAUAUGGUGUAGAGACUCCGGAGUUACAGACUUUCGCCAUCAAAGUUCUAAGCUUAACUUGUAGCUCAUCCGGAUGUGAAAGGAACUGGAGUGUUUUUGAACACAUUCAUACAAAGAAAAGGAAUCGACUAACCUUGAAGCGACUCCAUAAUCUAGUGUUUAUAAAAUACAAUAGAGCAUUGAGGCGUCGGUACAACCACCGCAAUAUAAUUGAUCCAAUUCUUUUGGACAAUAUUGAUGAGGCUAAUGAGUGGCUAACCGGAGUCCCCGAAAAUUGUGAAGAUGAAGAAGUAUUUGAAGGCGACUCCGAUUUCACUUGGGGUGAUGUUGCGGUUGGUAGUGGAGUUGGGGAGAAUCCUUAUGGUUUAAGGAGAUAUACUCCAAGUUCAAGCUCUAUUAGGAAGGGAAAAAGUGUGGCUACUACAAGUCGAUCCCUAUCCCUAAUUGAUGAAGAGGAAAGUGAUCAUGAAGAGGAGGGGGAAGAAGAAGAUGACGAGCAAUAUGAAGAUACUAGAGGAAUUCAAGAUUUUGACAAUCUUGAAGAAGAAGAAGAAGAGUAGAAGAAUAAGAUGUUGAUUGACUUCUAGUAAUUUAGUAGCUUUGAUUUUGCUUGUCCUAUGGUUUGUGGAUGAUUUGGUGGUACCUAGUACCUAAUUUUAAGUAUUUAAAUUGAUGUUUUUGAUUAUUUAUAAUUUUACAUUAUGUUUUUUAAGAAUUGCGCUUCACUUUAAUAAAGCGUGCGCUUCGCUUUGCGCUUCGCUUUUGAAGCGAGGCGAGCCCUUGUCGCUU
Long non-coding RNA from Nicotiana attenuata, 1100 nucleotides. RefSeq lists it as uncharacterized. The record is from RefSeq and is a predicted model, not a curated record. The transcript is spliced from 2 exons. Lineage: Eukaryota; Viridiplantae; Streptophyta; Magnoliopsida; Solanales; Solanaceae.